AGGACGAACGCUGGCGGCGUGCCUAACACAUGCAAGUGGAGCGACGAACCAGGCUUCGGCCUGGAGCAAAGCCGCGAACGGGUGAGUAACACGUGAGCAACCUGCCCUUAGCUCCGGGAUAGCUCCGGGAAACCGGAAUUAAUACCGGAUACGACCACGGCCGACAUCUGCUGUGGUGGAAAGGAUUCCGGCUAAGGAUGGGCUCGCGGCCUAUCAGCUAGUUGGUGGAGUAACGGCCCACCAAGGCGACGACGGGUA
This 258-nucleotide ribosomal RNA is filed under the name uncultured bacterium. RNAcentral describes it as "partial small subunit ribosomal RNA". It matches the Rfam family "Bacterial small subunit ribosomal RNA", at positions 26 to 285 of the family's 1533-position model. The record is from RNAcentral.